Pyrgilauda ruficollis (rufous-necked snowfinch) is the source of this 3989-nucleotide long non-coding RNA. RefSeq lists it as uncharacterized. The record is from RefSeq and is a predicted model, not a curated record. Lineage: Eukaryota; Metazoa; Chordata; Aves; Passeriformes; Passeridae. The transcript is spliced from 3 exons.
CCAGUGUGAGUGUCAUCACUGUUUAAAAAGGAUCCCAGAGUAACAGCUGAGAAGCCUAAAAUUAUGGAAGAGAUAUAAUGGGAGAAGAAGGGACCAUCAGUACAUGCAGACACAAGGACAUGCAGGUCUGUGCCAUCAGACUGUCACACUGCAGCACCUGGGUACAGGCUGCCUUCCUGCACUUCCCCAUGACUGAGCUGCACAGAGGACUUUUGCCUCUACUGAGGACACAGUCUUCCUGCCAGCAGGUUCUCCUGCACCAGUGAGUCAUUCCUGAGUCACUUGUCCUCUUGCCAGGAAGAGCCAGUCUUCUCCCAGGGAAUACAGCAACCUUCCUGGAUGAUACAAAGAGACCAGCUGAAAAGUCAAAUGCCAAAGAAAAGAAUCAUGUUAAGCCACGAUUAUAAAACAUGCCUUUGAUGGCUUGCGCGUUUGCCUUGUAGUACCUCCAAAUCAAAUAUUGUUUAAAUCCCCAUCGACUCACCAAGAUAUAUGGAAGAGACAGGAUUCAGGAGGCUGGCAGGGAAUUAACUGCAUUAACUGCAAAAUAACUGCUGGCUACCACAGCACCAGUGCUGAUGCACGUGGAUGAAUGCACCUAUCUGAAGAGGCAGCUUCUGGAUCCCGUGGGUUUAUUUCAGGCCAGCAGCCUGGCCAGCUCAGACCCUUUGGUCUCCAACUGCAGGGACACCUGCAGCCACCUGCCCCAGGGCCAGGUGACCUCUCAGACCUUGCAGCAGAAGGGAAGGAGGGACAGACCUUGGAGCAUUUCAGGGAGGCUAUAUGAGGGAGCAGGAGAGAGGAGUUUAAUUACUCAGUCUGGCUGGCAGAUGGAUUUUGAAAGUAGCUGCAUCAUAUUAUGACUUCAGAGGACGAACUGAUCCAACAUUUGGAAUGACUUAUAAAGUAAUGUCUUCUGAAUGUAUUUGCUGUGCUAGGUUUAAAAAUCAGCUUGUCCUGGAAUUCCUUACCUCCUCCAGUGCAGGCAGGUGGCCUGGGAGAGGUGAUAGUACAUUUCUUUCCUGGCUCUUGCACUCCUUUUUCCAAUGAAAGCUGUGACUAUUCAUAUACAAGUCAAAUGACUCUGGCAUUAUGCUGAAGUGGUGCCAGUGGUGAAUCAGAGACCUUUUCAAACCACUUGAAUUUUAAGGGGGCAAGAAAGAGUGGAUCUAACUGAAGGCAAAAAAUUAAUAAUGGAUGAAAAAUUAAAAGUGAAGAAUCUAACACUAAAAAAAAGAAUGAUAUGCUAUGCCCAUUUUGACACAGACCUCUUCCUACAGAAAGCAGUAAAAGGUAAAAGUCAUAAAAGGUAUAAUGUAAAGUAAAAGUCAAAUAUCAUUUAAAGUUCAAGUCCUCCUGCAGUACCAACCACAGGGUGAUGCACCUUAAGUUUUAGAUCAGGGUGAGAAAUAUGAAGUAAAACUCCAGGUGAUCCUUUAAUUGAGCAAUUGUAAUAAUGUGAAGUAGGAUUUCACAAGGAAUUUUUAUUCUAAUGAACACAAGAAAUAAUCUGUCAUUAUUUGCAAUCAUAUUCAUUUAGUUUUAAAAGAAUUAUGACAAAGAGAAGAAAAAGCUAAAACACUUUGGUAGUUGAUGUACAAGUGAAAAGAAUAAUGUAAAAUGGUGUGUGUGUGUGGAUGUAAUCCCAGAUACAUGCAUGGAGUUUGUCACCCAGGCGUUCCCAGCACCAUGUACUACUCUGGAAUCAGGAAUGUACAGUACAUUCAGAGAUGCUAUAAUAAGAAAGUAGCACAAGGUAAAUAAAUACUGAAAUUUUUAUGAGUGAACUUUUGUGAACCAGUAUAAUAUGGGAGCAUGAGAGGAACUCAUAAAAGCAGGGCAAAAGCCAAAGAACAGAUGAGGAUGAGAAAGCGAUAUGAUGAGUGCAGCAGAGAAAACAAUGUAAAAACAAGCAUGUCUUUUAUUUGAGAUACAUUCAGGAGAACAUCCACUGAAGCCAUGAAUCUGUUUUAGGAUUCAGGAAACUAAACUCUUGAAUUACAGUUAUGCCCACUACCUGUCUCUGGAGUUACAGCCUCAUUAAAUUCUACCGAAAUUAUAUUAUUAUUGUGUUCCAGAUAUGCUUUGGAAACUCUUGGCUACAGUGCAGGGCAGCUGGAACUGAUUUAUUUGUAUCCAAUACUGCAACUACAUUACAGCCAGUACUCUGUGUUUGCAUACAGCCUCUGCAUGUAAAGAUUCUACAACAGAGUAAGAGGAUGACUGCAAAAAUCAGGGUCUGAAGAUGUGGUCUUGGAAAGCACUCUACAGACACAGCUUCAGAUGAGAGAAACCAGGGGUGAAAAUUAAGAGAAUAUUACAGUCAGUUUCUAAUUAAACCAAGAUCAUAAUACAGAAAAAAAGCCAUAUUCUACAAUAAGAAUCAUGACAGGCCAUGUCUACUGAUCAAGCAGGUGUUCAAGUACAAUCAAAACUAUUAUAAUAUCAUGGAACAUAAAGAAGGGAAGGACUGCAAAAAAUCACUUUUAUCCAGAGAUCAACCGGCACCACUCCUGAGGUGCCAGUUGUUCAUGGAGCUUCCAGAGACGGAGGGUCAGCAGUCUUUCCUUUCUUGGCUGUGAGCUAACCUAGCUGCACUGUGCCAGGACUUAGCCAUAUACCACAACUCUGUACAGGCGAACAAGGAAGGUUGUGCAAUGACACCCGACAGGUUGGGCAGCUGAGCUGUCACCUGCAGAGGUAGGCUUGCUGGUGUUGAGCCAAGCGUGGGGAAACUGUAAAAAACUGUUCUAUCCACUUGGGAAAAGUGGAAAUCCCCUGGUGUUGGCAACCUUAAACAAUACAUGCUCUUUUUACUCUGUUUAAAGAGCAUAUGAACAAUGAUUAUUAUCACCAGUGACAUUAUAUUCCUGAGUAAUUUUCUUAUGCCUCGUAUGAAUCAUACCUGCAUCUGAACUGUAGCAAGUUCUAUAAAGCUGUUGUAUCAUCAAGAUAAUUAAAACAAUGUGUGUUCUUCUCCAAUAUAGAAUUUCAGGUCAUUAUAAAACAGUAUGGCAUAAUCAUAAGUUGAAUGUCUGUGUAAAGUGUUGCUCUUCUAUCACAGUGUCUGUUAAUAGCCUGUUCAUUAAAGCAAUAAAAGUGUAAUUUAUGCCACCUUUAACCAACAAGCUUGAAAAAAAAUAUUUCUGGGAAAUUAUUUCCGAUAUUUACAGAAUCUAAUACAAUCAUGCCCAAACCUUUGAAAAUUAACCAUAUCAGCAAGAACAGUGAGAUGAAUUAUGGAGAUUGCUGAUGCUUUUAAGUGCCGAAACGUCCGCAUCCCAUUUUCCCAACCUCUCCAAUAACAACAGCCACGAUGAUGGGCCGGCUGGUUGUUUUUGCAGCUUGCGAGCAGAGCCGCCCAUGCAGCACCCCCGGCCCCAGCACAAACACGCUCCAGCAGCCAGCAGGCACCAGCCCCAGGCCGCUUCCUCCCGCCGUGCUUCCCAGCUGCUCUCAGCCACGGAGAGCACGGACCCAUCUCCAGUUUCCUCCCAGCGACACCGGAACGCCUGGGUGUAGUUUACGGAGAGGUGCGCCAAAGACAAUUCCCAGGCUACCAGACAGUUUCCAUUUCAGAAGGCUCCUCCACUCAGCUCUCUGCUGCAAAAGCUGCAGCCAAACUUUUCGCUAUGCCUCUGCGUACCAGCAGCAGCAAAAUCUUCAGUCCUGGCUCCUCUGACUUUCUUUCUCUCAGAAUUUUUGCGAGUGGACAACGCAUACUCCAGUAGACAGCAGGUGGGUAGGAUCUGACCUGUGACUUUAUUUCCUCUGGAGCAACCGGAUGGCAAUGCAGAGAUCCCAGAGACCACCUGGCAGGCUCCAAGUUAAGGGUGUUCUCAAAUCUCACCUGCCAGGGGCCUGCCAAUAAACUGGUGCAGACCCAGGCAAUGCCACUCCAAGUUAUGGCUCUUGUCACUUGCCAUGCACUUUCUCAGCAUUUUCUGUACACAGACUUUCUUAAAGUAAAUAAAUAGGAAAUAUGGGAA